RNAcentral lists this ribosomal RNA (484 nucleotides) under uncultured bacterium. Its description in RNAcentral is "partial 16S ribosomal RNA". It matches the Rfam family "Bacterial small subunit ribosomal RNA", at positions 29 to 507 of the family's 1533-position model. The record is from RNAcentral.
AUUGAACGCUGGCGGCAUGCUUUACACAUGCAAGUCGAACGGCAGCGCGGGCUUCGGCCUGGAGGCGAGUGGCGAACGGGUGAGUAAUACAUCGGAACGUGCCCAGUAGUGGGGGAUAGCUCGGCGAAAGCCGGAUUAAUACCGCAUACGACCUGAGGGUGAAAGCGGGGGAUCUUCGGACCUCGCGCUAUUGGAGCGGCCGAUGGCAGAUUAGCUAGUUGGUGGGGUAAAGGCCUACCAAGGCGACGAUCUGUAGCUGGUCUGAGAGGACGACCAGCCACACUGGGACUGAGACACGGCCCAGACUCCUACGGGAGGCAGCAGUGGGGAAUUUUGGACAAUGGGCGAAAGCCUGAUCCAGCAAUGCCGCGUGUGUGAUGAAGGCCUUCGGGUUGUAAAGCACUUUUGGCGGGAACGAAAAGGACUGUGCCAAUACCACGGUUCGAUGACGGUACCCGCAGAAUAAGCACCGGCUAACUACGUG